GUUUUUUGUUUCAUUUGAUUUGAUGGUUUUCAUUUUCAUUUGAUUGCUUCUGCUUCAUCAGGAAUACUGAUGAACAGAUCCAGGCUGCAGUGGUGUAUACGCUCCCAAACAAUGAAAUCACAAACCCCAGUGACUUCCUGACUACCAUGCUGAAGAUUAGUGGUAAUCUACCCACAACAACAGCAGCAGCUCCUGUUCCUACUGUCCUCCUGACCUCAUUUACAUCCACCACUGCCAGUACAUGGGGUUUCCCAGGCUGGGCCCUGGCUAUCAUCAUCCCCUGUGGGAUUGCAAUCCUCCU
This 301-nucleotide long non-coding RNA is filed under the name Lepisosteus oculatus (spotted gar). Its description in RNAcentral is "lncRNA (ENSLOCG00000022743.1)". The record is from RNAcentral. Lineage: Eukaryota; Metazoa; Chordata; Actinopteri; Semionotiformes; Lepisosteidae.